AGAUUGAACGCUGGCGGCAGGCCUAACACAUGCAAGUCGAGCGGUAGAGAGGUGCUUGCAUCUCUUGAGAGCGGCGGACGGGUGAGUAAUGCCUAGGAAUCUGCCUAGUGGUGGGGGAUAACGUUCGGAAACGGACGCUAAUACCGCAUACGUCCUACGGGAGAAAGCGGGGGACCUUCGGGCCUCGCGCCAUUAGAUGAGCCUAGGUCGGAUUAGCUAGUCGGUGAGGUAAUGGCUCACCAAGGCGACGAUCCGUAACUGGUCUGAGAGGAUGAUCAGUCACACUGGAACUGAGACACGGUCCAGACUCCUACGGGAGGCAGCAGUGGGAAUAUUGGACAAUGGGCGAAAGCCUGAUCCAGCCAUGCCGCGUGUGUGAAGAAGGUCUUCGGAUUGUAAAGCACGUUUAAGUUGGAAGUAAGGUUGUAGCUUUAAUACGUUUGCUAACUUUGACGUUACCGACUAGAAUUAAGCACGGCUAACUUCGUGCAG
This 492-nucleotide ribosomal RNA is filed under the name uncultured soil bacterium. Its description in RNAcentral is "bacterial SSU rRNA". It matches the Rfam family "Bacterial small subunit ribosomal RNA", at positions 26 to 510 of the family's 1533-position model. The record is from RNAcentral.